Molecule: ribosomal RNA, 473 nt
Filed under: uncultured Diversispora
Lineage: Eukaryota; Fungi; Glomeromycota; Glomeromycetes; Diversisporales; Diversisporaceae
Description: SSU rRNA
Rfam family: Eukaryotic small subunit ribosomal RNA
Source: RNAcentral
AGCAGCCGCGGUAAUUCCAGCUCCAAUAGCGUAUAUUAAAGUUGUUGCAGUUAAAAAGCUCGUAGUUGAACUUCGGGGUUUACCCAUUGGUCAGGCUUAAUUGUCUGUACUGGUGAGAUAAAUCUCUACCUUCUGAGGAACUUUCAUGCCAUUUAUUUGGUGUGAUGGGAAAUCAGGACUGUUACUUUGAAAAAUUAGAGUGUUUAAAGCAGGCUAACGUCUGAAUACAUUAGCAUGGAAUAAUGAAAUAGGACGGACUGAUUCUAUUUCGUUGGUUUCUAGGAUCACCGUAAUGAUUAAUAGGGAUAGUUGGGGGCAUUAGUAUUCAAUUGUCAGAGGUGAAAUUCUUGGAUUUAUUGAAGACUAACUACUGCGAAAGCAUUUGCCAAGGAUGUUUUCAUUAAUCAAGAACGAAAGUUAGGGGAUCGAAGACGAUCAGAUACCGUCGUAGUCUUAACCAUAAACUAUGCCGA